Molecule: long non-coding RNA, 7674 nt
Organism: Mirounga angustirostris (Northern elephant seal)
Lineage: Eukaryota; Metazoa; Chordata; Mammalia; Carnivora; Phocidae
Exons: 9
Source: RefSeq, a predicted model, not a curated record
UGCGCCAGAAGCAUACUGCGGCGGUCCCGGCGAGGCCGUGCUUUGACUGGCGUCCUCGCUGCGGCUGGAGGCGCCCCUGGUUCUCUUUCGCCUGUCCAGUUCUACCUUGGCCUGUGCAGCCACCCUAGAUCCGCGGACUUUGUGCCGCCGCUCCCUCUACCCUGUCUUGCGGCGGCCAGCGCUGAGAAUUCACGCUACGACACUCGGUUCAGCCAGGAGGUGACACCCAAGUGUGAUCAGAAGCCAUGCCACUGGUGAAGAGGUAUAUUGAGCCCCGCCUGGCCCAGUGAGGUUACCUGAGAAUUGGGAGAGGCUUAGAUCAACAUCCUGCACAUCCUGUUAUCAAAUCAUUGUGAAGUCUUGAAAAUCACCUGGGAUGCCUGUUAAAAAUGCAGAUUCCUGGGCAGCCAGAAACCUUGUCAUUGGUCAAGAGCAACACUAAGACCUACCUGUCACUUAUAUUGAGGCUUCCUGCCCAGUGGGUUCAUCAGCAAGCCAGAACGAAUCACCAUUGCCAUGGUUGUCCUUGUGAGGCAGUUGGGAAGCCUUGGCUGAAUUGGGAAGGAUGUCUUUCAGAAAGUGUUUGAGAGAGUCUGCCAGCUCUUCCACACGAGUGAACAUGUAGCAGAAGAGGGGGUCCUCUCGGUGAUUAAGAUGCUGCUUAGGGGUUUUGGCAGGGAGCUUUUCUUUUGUUUAUCUACUUUGGAUAGAGACCUUGGAAAAGAGAUUUCUCUACUCUUAAAAACAAGAGUGCAAAUUGGAUGUCACAGAAGCUGCAGUGAAUUCUUUCAUGGCCCUGAGUAUGCUUUGUUCCCAUGGAGAAGAACCUAACUGGAGACUGAUAGUGUGGACAUGUUUCUGGCAUCAAGGAUGAGGGAGACCUUUAGAAACAACUUGUCAAGUCCUCACCAUGAAUACCAUUGGAAUUGCAGUUGGAAUGGCACUGAAGGCAGAGAUUGAUUUUUGGAGAGCUAUCAUCUGUAUAAUCUUCUCAUACAUGAAUGUGUUUCUUCUCUCUGCUGCCUUUUGAGCUGCGGCACGGUGCUGGGAGAUGGGGAUGUGGAGACGAAUUUAGACACAGUCCCUGCCCUCAGGAGUUCUCAGUCUAGUGAGAGAGUUCGACAUGUACACAGAUAAUUACAACAGUAUGGUAUGCUCUACAGUGGAGGUAUGUACAAGAUACUCUGGGGUUCGGAAGAGAAAUCAUUUGAUUGAGUAUGGAGAUGCCAGAGGCUGGAGGAACUGAUGCUUAAGGGGAUUCUUAAAAGAAGUAAAGCUUGACCAGGAAGAAAACAGGGAAGGACCUUUUAAGCAAAGGCAUGGACAUUGGAAAUAGAAUGAUGAAAUGGGGGGACUACAAGUAGUUCCUGAGAUUGGGUUAGAAAUGUAGGCUGACGAUAGAUCCUUAUAUAGUAUUUCAUGAAAUGCGGAUUCCAUUUUGAGUGUUUCAGUAAGAGAUGCAUUUGAUGGUCACUCUAGCAGUACUAUAGAGCAUGUUCUGGAAGAUCUUCAAAUCCGGACAGGGAGAUUAGUUAGAAGGCGACUGUAGUAGGUAAGAUGAUAAAUGAUCUGAGGCCAGAAGGAGUGGGAGUGGAGAAGAGGACCUGACCUCUUAGAGGCUAUACAAACAUGGACCUAAUAGAGGGGCCAGUUAAGGCUCUCAGACCUGGGCAAAUGUGCAUUCACCUACCUCCAUCCCUGGCCUUGAUGAGAAAUCCCCUCAUGUUUUUUAGAUGGGCAUUGCUACUGAUCUCUUUUGGACCAGGGCUUGACUGGACCGUGUUUUGCAGGUUUCUCUUGGGGUGCAGCUGUAUAGGAAAUGGUGAUUCUCCAUCAUCUGAACAGCUGCAGACCUGUCAUAGGAUUACUUAGUUCCUGGUCCUUCUCAGCAGUAGCAGCCCUCCUUCAUGACCACAUGUCACUCAAAGUCAGAGUAGAGGCUCUCCUCUCUAAAACCCACUCAGGGAAGAGGUGGCUCUCGUUGUUACUGUCUCAGUCAUUCUAUUUUGCUUAGGGACUUUACAGUGUUUAUGGUUACACCUCCCAGUAAAACAUGUUCAGUAAUCAAAAAUCUGUAGAUGCAGUAUUCAUUUCCUCUUUGCUCAAAGCAAGAGGAACAUGUCCUUUGGAAAAUUCUCCACCUAGGGCUCAGAGUAGUGACCUUGGAGAUUCAGAGAAUGGAUUUCUGUGACUAGAACGAUUAAUAGGAGAUUGCAGUUAAGUAGACCUUAGGUAUUUUCAGUGGACCCUGUGUACGUAGCCAUCCUAGAGGGCAGUAAGGGGAAGAAGGGGUGGGAGAGGAAGCUCUGAGUAGGACAGCAAAGCCAGGACAGUAAGAGUUUGGGCCUUGAGACUAAAUAGCCUAGGCUCCGAUUUGCUCUUACAUUCGCCAGUGUGGUGUCAAGCAUGGUUUUUCACUUCUCUGGGGCUUUCCUUUCACUUAUGUAAAAUAGGGGUAAUAAUCUUUUUUUUGCAGUGGUUUGGUGGGGGGUAGUGAUCGCAAUGAUUUUUAAGGAUUUAAUGGGAUUGUUCGUGUAAAUGGCUUAGAACGAGUCGGAAGUAUGUUAAAUGCUGUAUCAACUAUAGUUGCUGCUGAUAAUGAUGUUGACUGUGACAAGGAUUAAAAGAAGAUAGUUAACUAGAGGUGCUUAUAUUUUACAUUGUCGAUGAGACUCUGAGGGUUCAAGGAAGAAAAGAAAACGAACCGACGUGAAGGUUUUCAAUGGUAUGCUAGUAUGAAGUCAAUUCUCUGCCAUCUUUUUCUUCUCUGCCAAAUGGGUUGGGAAACCAGAUGAAUUUUGUCCAUGCCCUGAUCACUAAUCUAUUGCCUUUGCUCUUAUUUCCAAAUAGAAACCUGUUGAAAAGUUGUGUUACACCUGAAUAAAGGUUAUCCUAAAAAUGUAGAAAAAUGCUUUGGAGUUGGUCAAAACCGGACUUGAAACCUGACUCAACUGUUUACUAGCUGUGUGAUCUAAGGCAUGUUACUUAACCUCAUUGAACCUCAGUUGCUUCAUCUAAUAUCAUAAUUAAUUUGCAGGGUUUCUAUGAGGACAUUUGUCAAGUGUAUGUCAUAAGCACUCUAUCAAUCAUAGCUAUCAUUGUUAGUUCUUGGGAUGCUCACCACGUGACAGAGACAACAGCAGGCCCUGGUGGCUGGGAGGACUGCAUGGAUCCAACCUCAACCUGGAGUUGUGCUCUUCUGAAGAAAUCCUACUCGGAUGGAUAUAAUACAACCUGCUAAGUGUCCUAGCACUUAUCAGGUUGUAUUAUCAUUGUCCGUGUCUAUGGCUCUCGUCUACCAGACUCUAAAUUCCUUACAGGCAAGGACAGUGCCUUAUUCAUCUUUGUAUUCGGUGCCUAAUCCCGUGCACAUUGUAGGCCUCAUUAAAUGUUUGUUGAAUGAAAAACUGAAUCAUCAACAGACAUUAAUUGGGCGCCUGCUCUGUGAUCUCCAUGGGCUCAGCUUUUCCCCGCCAGUUGCCUACAACGUCCAAGCUGUCUUCAGUAUGCUUUCUCCCGAAGCUUACUCCUAUCUUCUAAUCCUUUUGCUGAGGACUUUUCUGUGUAGCACAAGCAUAGCAGAUAUAUUUACUUCAUCUCAAGUACCAUCUCCAGCCGAUUGAGAGUACCUGCCUUGAUUCUGUUUUAUAAAAGGAUUCCGAAGCCAGCUCUCAGGGCAGUGUGAAAGAGCGUUAACGACUCAUCAGUGAUGUUUGCCAAGGGUGGGAGAAUGGGCUGUAACAGCACAAGGGCCACAUCUGGGUCAUAUUUGAGAUUAUGUUUUCCGUGAACUACUCUGUCUCUAUGCCUGCAUUUUAGUCUUGGCUACUUGCAGAUGUUGCAUGGCUGCCGCUGCCGCCCCAGUUGCUGCUGGUUGCUCCUUGGGUAGGACCAAAGUGAUCACUGAUCAGAAACUUCAUCCUCACAGUCUGGGGUUUGCUCCUGUGGCUGGUAUUCAGUUUCCCCUUUCAGCUUUACCUCAGCUAUCCCCUUACCUACUACACUGACAGGUAGGCCUCCCCUUUCUGUUCGCCACCCAGCGGGCUCACAUUUCUUUUCUUAUUUCCGAAUGAUUAAUUGUUCUUGUUCCGUGAGAAGCCUUCUUUCUGUUAGAAGAUGUGACAACUAGAAUACAAGUUAAACGAUUCCAUCAGGGUGCUGCAGUGAGUCGUAUAAGCUUCCCCUUUACCGUGGGAGAAAAUUGCAGACUUCGGGGCGGGAAGCACUGAGAAGGGAGGCAUUGUAGAUGUGGGAGAGAAAGACGAUAGCAGACGGAAUAAGAUCCUGGGAACCAAUGUAGGUUGGGAGGGUGAAACCUCUGGCUCUAAAAUGGGGGUGGAGGGAUAGCCUUGGUUGAAAGGAGUUACCUCCUCGCUGGAACACAGGCAUUCGGAGUUAGGAGGAGGAGCUGAGAAGGGAGUUGAAGAUUUGUAAUUGUCGAGGUGACUGAUGGGGAGAGGAAGCUGACCAGGGACAGGAUUACGGAGACGAACCAGAGUCUGCGGAAUAUUCGGGCCAAGAGGCUGGAGUGGGGCCUUUUGGCAUGUUAAAGUGAGGUACUAUUAUAUUAAAUGAUACGUGAGAUGUGAUAUUACUCCGUUAAAGCGAGAAACUAGCUUGAAACUCCAUUAGAAACUCAAGAAAUUGUAAAGUGGUCUUAGGCCACUGUCACAAGUAAAUUUGAUUGCCUGGGCCUGACCUUUAUUGAUUGAGAAGUGGACAGCUAGCAAGAGAAGGGUUAUGCAGAAAUGACUUUGAAAAUCCAGACUCUCUGUGGAAGGCAGUGUAGGUCCAAAGUGAGCUCCAAGUCUGUGACUAAAAAGAGGACUGGGCGUGAUCAAGAUGGGUGUUGAGUAGUUGGAAACUUGGAAUAAUAGGACCUGUGAUCAGAGAGUGGAUUUUGAAACCUUGAGACUUCAAACCCGGAGUGGGCAAGAUACUUGUGAAGCUGGGAUGUCAGAUGGUCUGUUACCUACAUACUGAAGUGACCCAGGAUUAUAGCAAAAGCUGGUCUGGGAACGAGCACUGUGGGCCAACUAGAAUAUGCUUCAGUGCCUGAGGAAUGGUUAGAGGUUGGCUCAUGGCGGCUGUGCAGAUGGAAAAGAGGAAAGGAUGUAGUGGAUUGUUGGUAGGAGCCACAGAAGAGUGGCAGGGAGUCUUCGAAGUUACAGAAACUAUGAUUUGCACAUUGCACUGCAGUGUUGGCUUGCAGAACGCCUAGCAAAAACGAUCCCCUCGUUUACUGAGCGCCUGCUCUAUCCCCGGCACCUUGCUCUGUGCGCUCCCAUUUACGCCGUCUGGGUCUGUCACAUACCGGGUGUGAGAGAAUGAGCAGCAGUCCCAAGCAAGGACAGCUAGAGGAGCUGCUGGCUCUCAGAACUGAGGGGAUGCCGUGGCCAUCUCAGCACAGACCUGGGCAGCUUGAAGUGGCAUAAAAAGGUUUCCUUAGAUCAAAAUUUUCCCUUGACGUUGACCUAACUCUGUUACAUGGUACGAGCUUGUGUUGGCUGUUCCAUAAUGUACUCUGGCUUCUGAGCCUCUGGGUUGAGGAGCAUGGGCUGGUACUGUCCUUUAAAAAAAAACAAAACAAGAGAACAGGCACAGCACUUUAAAAAACUCACAUAUUGAUUGACUAGAACAAGACAGUCCAGUUACCUAAUUGAGCUUUUAAGAUAAAGGAUAGACAAAAGAAAGCUCGCAUCAAUGGGUGGUGAAUAACGAGACCACUUUGCGAAAUCCACUCUGAGGUCAGGAUGCAUCCAGUUUAGUGGACCUAUUGUAGAUACCCGCUGUGCUGUUGGGAAGGACUGGAAAUUGAUGCAGAGAGAUGUCCCUUGGGACCCGGAAGGUCAAGUUUAGGAGAAGAGAGUGUGAACCCUGCGACAUUGCAUGUAGUCAUUUUUCUUCGGUUAUAGUCUUCACAUGAGUCAGUAUUUCACUGAAGGUUUAAAGCCACUGUGAUAGAGUGACCAGGCCCUCAGACAGCCCAUCCCCUCCUGUGGGGGCUGCUUUAUAUUUAUUCCUCAGGAGAACCUGGUAGAAGACUUCAUGUGAGGGAGAAGAAAAGGCAAGAAGUGGAGAGUGACUACAGCCUGUCUUCAUCUCAGCUUCACAAGGCAUGACUCAGCAGAGGGAGGGAUCAUCCUCUGGAGACUCUCCAGACCACAGGCCAUCUGUAACAGUCAUCAUCUGGGAGGAGCCUUGUGAAUGAAGCCUCAGUGAGUGAGUGGAGUGACACCCAUGUUUUUCUCUGAAUAUAAGGAGAGGGAAGGAGGCCAUGAAAUCCCAUAAUGGAGUAACAAAAAUUUGACAUUUUAGUAGAUACUGGACCUAGAAGCCUACAUGAAGGAAGUAAACAAACCUGAGAGAUCUUGGAUGUGUGUUGAGUGAAGAUAAGAGUGAAUUCCUAUUGCCCUUAGUAAUGGAGGAAGAGAGGGGAGAAAAGUGAGGGUCCUUUAUGUCACUGGAGGAGGCCCUGAGACUUGCUUCUUAAACCAGUGACUUUUAAGUUGCAUUGCACUACUUCCGUUGCUGUUUGUGUGAGAGUCACUGUUCCAAGCCCUCUUCUCAGGUACAGCUGCCUUUGUAGAGAUUUCUCUUGACCCCUAUUGAGAAACAACCCAGAACAAGGUUUGCAGCUUAGAACUCUCUGGAUCAGUGACAGAGGGGUCGAGGACAGAGGAGGUAGCACAAGUAGUACCAAAUAGCUCAGCUUUUUUUAUAUAGGAUGGAUGGGGUAGAGGCGGAGAGCACAGUGGUUCCAGGCAACUCCAAACACCUGGUAAGGUGUAAGGAAACAGUACACUGAAAGGUCAACCCUUAGACCUAUUAUUUGUCAAUCCCCAGAGCAUGAUAGAAUAUCUAAAGGUUAUAAAGAUUCUUUCCUAGAAGAGAUUUAGAAGAGGGGAACUUCCAAUUAUGUAAUACGGGCAUUGCAACUUUUAAAAACAUCUGUUCCCUACAUAGGUCAUGGAGAUUGAUACUCGUAUCAACCUGUGGCUGACUAGGCCAGUAUUAACUUCAGGGUUUCAUGCUCUUGGAGGGAUCCUGCUACUCUCUUGCUUUGACAGGUGUUCAUCUGCAGUAUGAGUCCAGUACUUGAAGGAACAAGAGGACAACAGGCAUCCAGGGGACAUCAGUGUAGUCUUCGAAGUGAAGAUGGAAACAGAAAAGAUCAUGGAAUUGGCUGGAUUGGGCUGGGCUUGUUUGUUGUUUCGGAAUUUUAAAAAUACUUUUUUACUUGAUGAUAAAAGUAACAGAUGAUCACUGUUGAAAAAUCAAAGGUAUAAAUUAAAAAGUAAAGAACACCUAUAAUCUUAUAACCCAGAAAACAACUCAACAUCUGAGUUUGUUUCCUUUUGCCCCUUUAAAAAAGAAUGUAACAUAGUUUUUUCAAGUUUUCAUUUUAAUUCCAGUUAGUAAACAUACAAUGUCUGUUCAUUUCAGGUGUACAAUUUAAAAACAAAAUUGACAUCAUAUUGUAUAUGUUGUUCUCCAUCUUUUUUCAUUUGAAAAUAAUGUAUUUGCAUGUAAUUAGCGUUCUUUGAAAACAGUAUUGUUACAUAAUAUUUCAUAUGGAUCUAACAAAAUUUAGGUAGAUGAUUGCAUGCUGCUGGACAUUUUGCAUAUUACCAAUUUUGCCUAUAAAAUGUAAUAAACUUCAUUGUACAUUAA